This 460-nucleotide ribosomal RNA is filed under the name uncultured bacterium. RNAcentral describes it as "partial 16S ribosomal RNA". It matches the Rfam family "Bacterial small subunit ribosomal RNA", at positions 338 to 795 of the family's 1533-position model. The record is from RNAcentral.
CCUACGGGUGGCAGCAGUGAGGAAUAUUGGUCAAUGGGCGCGAGCCUGAACCAGCAAAGUAGCGUGAAGGAUGACUGCCCUACGGGUUGUAAACUUCUUUUAUAAAGGAGUAAAGUGAGGCACGUGUGCAUUUUUGUAUGUACUUUAUGAAUAAGGAUCGGCUAACUCCGUGCCAGCAGCCGCGGUAAUACGGAGGAUCCGAGCGUUAUCCGGAUUUAUUGGGUUUAAAGGGAGCGUAGAUGGGUUGUUAAGUCAGUAGUGAAAGUUUGCGGCUCAACCGUAAAAUUGCAAUUGAUACUGGCAGUCUUGAGUACAGUUGAGGUAGGCGGAAUUCGUGGUGUAGCGGUGAAAUGCGUAGAUAUUACGAAGAACUCCGAUUGCGAAGGCAGCUUACUAAACUGCAACUGACAUUGAUGCUCGAAAGUGUGGGUAGCAAACAGGAUUAGAUACCCGGGUAGUC